UACGUAGGGUGCAAGCGUUGUCCGGAAUUAUUGGGCGUAAAGAGCUCGUAGGCGGUCUGUCGCGUCGGCUGUGAAAACUCGGGGCUCAACUCCGAGCUUGCAGUCGAUACGGGCAGGCUAGAGUGCGGCAGGGGAGACUGGAAUUCCUGGUGUAGCGGUGAAAUGCGCAGAUAUCAGGAGGAACAUCGGUGGCGAAGGCGGGUCUCUGGGCCGAUACUGACGCUGAGGAGCGAAAGCGUGGGGAGCAAACAGG
RNAcentral lists this ribosomal RNA (253 nucleotides) under uncultured bacterium. Its description in RNAcentral is "partial 16S ribosomal RNA". It matches the Rfam family "Bacterial small subunit ribosomal RNA", at positions 524 to 776 of the family's 1533-position model. The record is from RNAcentral.